UUUUUGCUUUCUCUGAGGAAGGUUGAUGUCUGUCUUCCCAUUUUCAAGUUCUGCUGAAUUAAUUACACCUUCCAUUUCGUUCAAUUUAUUGUGCAAAUGUUGGUCAAAUGCCAGCCUAAUGGAGGUUUAGAUACUGAUUGAAAAAAUGUUGCAGGUAAUAUCCUCUCAACAUCGCAUAGGGAAUGAUACUGACUGGUUAAUACAAGAUCCCUGCCAGUGCAAAUGCCUGGCUUCUCCCCUUCUAAUUCUCAUGUACAUGCUGUAAAUUGAUAUUCAUAA
This 279-nucleotide unclassified non-coding RNA is filed under the name Hevea brasiliensis (rubber tree). The record is from RNAcentral. Lineage: Eukaryota; Viridiplantae; Streptophyta; Magnoliopsida; Malpighiales; Euphorbiaceae.